RNAcentral lists this transfer RNA (72 nucleotides) under Cavia porcellus (domestic guinea pig). It matches the Rfam family "tRNA". Rfam says of the family: Transfer RNA (tRNA) molecules are approximately 80 nucleotides in length. Their secondary structure includes four short double-helical elements and three loops (D, anti-codon, and T loops). The record is from Rfam by way of RNAcentral. Lineage: Eukaryota; Metazoa; Chordata; Mammalia; Rodentia; Caviidae.
GGGGGUUUAGCUCAGUGGCAUAAGUGCCUACCUUGCAAGCAGGCAGUCUGGGUUCAAUCCCCGGUACCAAUA